UACAGAGGGUGCGAGCGUUGUCCGGAAUUAUUGGGCGUAAAGAGCUUGUAGGCGGUUUGUCGCGUCUGCUGUGAAAUCUCAAGGCUCAACCUUGAGCUUGCAGUGGGUACGGGCAGACUAGAGUGUGGUAGGGGAGACUGGAAUUCCUGGUGUAGCGGUGAAAUGCGCAGAUAUCAGGAGGAACACCGAUGGCGAAGGCAGGUCUCUGGGCAUUAACUGACGCUGAGGAGCGAAAGCAUGGGGAGCGAACAGG
This 253-nucleotide ribosomal RNA is filed under the name uncultured bacterium. RNAcentral's name for it is "partial 16S ribosomal RNA". It matches the Rfam family "Bacterial small subunit ribosomal RNA", at positions 524 to 776 of the family's 1533-position model. The record is from RNAcentral.